This 492-nucleotide ribosomal RNA is filed under the name uncultured bacterium. Its description in RNAcentral is "partial 16S ribosomal RNA". It matches the Rfam family "Bacterial small subunit ribosomal RNA", at positions 29 to 507 of the family's 1533-position model. The record is from RNAcentral.
AGUGAACGCUGGCGGUAGGCCUAACACAUGCAAGUCGAACGGCAGCACAGUAAGAGCUUGCUCUUACGGGUGGCGAGUGGCGGACGGGCGAGGAAUACAUCGGAAUCUACUUUUUCGUGGGGGAUAACGUAGGGAAACUUACGCUAAUACCGCAUACGACCUACGGGUGAAAGCAGGGGAUCUUCGGACCUUGCGCGAUUGAAUGAGCCGAUGUCGGAUUAGCUAGUUGGCGGGGUAAAGGCCCACCAAGGCGACGAUCCGUAGCUGGUCUGACAGGAUGAUCAGCCACACUGGAACUGAGACACGGUCCAGACUCCUACGGGAGGCAGCAGUGGGGAAUAUUGGACAAUGGGCGCAAGCCUGAUCCAGCCAUACCGCGUGGGUGAAGAAGGCCUUCGGGUUGUAAAGCCCUUUUGUUGGGAAAGAAAAGCAGCAGGUUAAUACCCCGCUGUUCUGACGGUACCCAAAGAAUAAGCACCGGCUAACUUCGUG